Molecule: ribosomal RNA, 714 nt
Filed under: uncultured bacterium
Lineage: Bacteria
Description: bacterial SSU rRNA
Rfam family: Bacterial small subunit ribosomal RNA
Source: RNAcentral
AUUAGAUACCCUGGGUAGUCCGCACGGUAAACGAUGGAUGCCCGCCGUUGGGUAUUUUUAUUCAGCGGCCAAGCGAAAGCGUUAAGCAUCCCACCUGGGGAGUACGCCGGCAACGGUGAAACUCAAAGGAAUUGACGGGGGCCCGCACAAGCGGAGGAACAUGUGGUUUAAUUCGAUGAUACGCGAGGAACCUUACCCGGGCUCAAACGGAAGUGGACGGACUGAGAAAUCAGUCUUUCCUUCGGGACCGCUUCCGAGGUGCUGCAUGGUUGUCGUCAGCUCGUGCCGUGAGGUGUCGGCUUAAGUGCCAUAACGAGCGCAACCCCUACCGACAGUUGCUAACAGAUUAAGCUGAGGACUCUGUCGGGACUGCCGGCGCAAGCUGUGAGGAAGGCGGGGAUGACGUCAAAUCAGCACGGCCCUUACGUCCGGGGCGACACACGUGUUACAAUGGCAGGUACAGCGGGAAGCCACCCGGCGACGGGGCGUGGAACCCGAAAACCUGUCUCAGUUCGGAUUGGAGUCUGCAACCCGACUCCAUGAAGCUGGAUUCGCUAGUAAUCGCGCAUCAGCCACGGCGCGGUGAAUACGUUCCCGGGCCUUGUACACACCGCCCGUCAAGCCAUGGAAGCCGGGAGUGCCUGAAGUACGUGACCGUAAAAGGAGCGUCCUAGGGUAAAACCGGUGACUGGGGCUAAGUCGUAACAAGGUAAC